Peromyscus californicus insignis is the source of this 107-nucleotide small nuclear RNA. The record is from RefSeq and is a predicted model, not a curated record. Lineage: Eukaryota; Metazoa; Chordata; Mammalia; Rodentia; Cricetidae.
GUGCUCGCCUCGGCAGCAUGCAUACUAAAAUUGGAACGAUACGGAGAAGAUUAGCAUGGUCCCUGCGCAAGGAUGACACGCAAAUUUGUGAAGCGUUCCAUGUUAAA